RNAcentral lists this long non-coding RNA (1086 nucleotides) under Anser brachyrhynchus (Pink-footed goose). RNAcentral's name for it is "lncRNA (ENSABRG00000019560.1)". Lineage: Eukaryota; Metazoa; Chordata; Aves; Anseriformes; Anatidae. The record is from RNAcentral.
GCCCCCUCGCCGCGCCGUAGCGGGCCGGGAGGGGGCGGAGCCAGCGGCCGGGCCCCGCCCCAUCCCCGUCCCCCGUCCGCGCCGGAAGCGGCGCAGCGGCGGGCGCGGGCUGGCGGGGCGGAAGCGGCCGUUGCCGAGGAUGAGCCAGCGGGACACCCUGGUGCACCUCUUCGCCGGCGGUUGACUGAUGUUUUCAGCUGUCAAGCUGUUUUACUUGAUACAAAUGUCACGUUGUAAGUAUUUAUUUGCCCUCGGUCCUAAUUGAAGCUACGCUCUCCAUGUUAGUGUUUGUUUUGGAUAAUGGAAAGCAGUGAUGCUUGUUCCCCUUGUGUUAUUUUUUCCAGUUUUCACUUGUACAUUUUUGUAUGUCAGCACAUCAGGGGAAUUUCAUUUUUACAUUAAGUAGGAACAGGUUUGAUUAAUAUUUCUUAGUUUAAGGAAGUUAACUUAAAAUUGUUAUUUUUUUAAAACUUCAGCAAGAAGUAUAAUCUGUGAAUAAGGGGGCUGUGGGCUACUAGCUGCUGGUACUGCUAGCCAGUAUAUUAAUGAGAAAGAUGGAAAGAUGUGUAAUGUACAAGUUUAGCAGUAUAAUAAUGGGAAAACCCUGAAACUUCCAGAUUAGUGAGAUGCAUUCUUGCUGUUUCUGAAAAUUUUUCUUCCCAAAGGCCUUAAAUUCCCUAUCAAAAGAGGGAUACUGUAGGUUUGAUAUUCAGACCUGCAACUUAGAUGUCGAUGUGAACACCAGUUACUCUUGUGCUGUAAGACGGGUCUGUGAAAUUGCUGACAGUUUGGGGACCUGAAUUUGUGGUAAGUGGUAAAGAGAUUAGAAGGCGUUCUGCUUGCAAGUGGCUCCGUGUUUUCCUGACAGCUUUUUGAGAUCGGUUUUCUCACUGUUUAUCUUGUCAGUCAGUAUUUGCAGGGAACUCUUUCAUAGAGGAAAGAGAAGCAGCAGGUAAAAUACAUGAAUGAAUGUAGACCCAAGAUAACAGGGUCAAGGGUUAUCUCCGAGUCUUUGAGGCCGCAGUUACAAAUACAGUGAAAGGUGAAUCUAAGGUAAGUGCUAUGCAGCCUCAUCAUGGGCUUGUG